Molecule: ribosomal RNA, 451 nt
Filed under: uncultured bacterium
Lineage: Bacteria
Description: bacterial SSU rRNA
Rfam family: Bacterial small subunit ribosomal RNA
Source: RNAcentral
GUGGGGAAUAUUGGACAAUGGGGGGAACCCUGAUCCAGCCAUGCCGCGUGUGUGAAGAAGGCCUUUUGGUUGUAAAGCACUUUAAGCGAGGAGGAGGCUACCGAGAUUAAUACUCUUGGAUAGUGGACGUUACUCGCAGAAUAAGCACCGGCUAACUCUGUGCCAGCAGCCGCGGUAAUACAGAGGGUGCAAGCGUUAAUCGGAUUUACUGGGCGUAAAGCGCGCGUAGGUGGCCAAUUAAGUCAAAUGUGAAAUCCCCGAGCUUAACGUGGGAAUUGCAUUCGAUACUGGUUGGCUAGAGUAUGGGAGAGGAUGGUAGAAUUCCAGGUGUAGCGGUGAAAUGCGUAGAGAUCUGGAGGAAUACCGAUGGCGAAGGCAGCCAUCUGGCCUAAUACUGACACUGAGGUGCGAAAGCAUGGGGAGCAAACAGGAUUAGAAACCCCGGUAGUCC